RNAcentral lists this ribosomal RNA (800 nucleotides) under uncultured bacterium. Its description in RNAcentral is "bacterial SSU rRNA". It matches the Rfam family "Bacterial small subunit ribosomal RNA", at positions 8 to 841 of the family's 1533-position model. The record is from RNAcentral.
AGAGUUUGAUCCUGGCUCAGAAUCAACGCUGGCGGCGCGCCUAACACAUGCAAGUCGAGCGAGAAAGCGGGGCAACCCGUGAGUACAGCGGCGUACGGGUGAGUAACACGUGGGUGAUCUACCUCCGAGUGGGGAAUAACCCUGGGAAACCGGGGCUAAUACCGCAUAAGCCUGAGAAGGGAAAGCAGCGAUGCGCUGGGAGAGGAGCCCGCAGCCGAUUAGCUAGUUGGAGGGGUAAGAGCCCACCAAGGCGACGAUCGGUAGCCGGCCUGAGAGGGCACACGGCCACACUGGCACUGAAACACGGGCCAGACUCCUACGGGAGGCAGCAGUGGGGAAUCUUGCACAAUGGGGGAAACCCUGAUGCAGCGACGCCGCGUGAGCGAUGAAGCCCUUCGGGGUGUAAAGCUCUUUCGGCAGGGAAGAUAGUGACGGUACCUGCAGAAGCAGCUGCGGCUAACUACGUGCCAGCAGCCGCGGUAAUACGUAGGCAGCAAGCGUUGUUCGGAGUUACUGGGCGUAAAGGGUGCGUAGGCGGCCGAUUAAGUUUGUCGUGAAAUCUCCCGGCUCAACUGGGAGGGUGCGGCGAAUACUGAUGGGCUGGAGUGCGGGAGAGGAGAGUGGAAUUCCUGGUGUAGCGGUGAAAUGCGUAGAUAUCAGGAGGAACACCGGCGGUGUAGACGGCUCUCUGGACCGUAACUGACGCUGAGGCACGAAAGCGUGGGUAGCAAACAGGAUUAGAUACCCUGGUAGUCCACGCCCUAAACGAUGCACAUUUGGUGUGGGCGGUUCAGUCUGUC